UGGAGUUUGUCUGAUCACCUGAUCACUGACAGGAACAUGUGAACCUUAAAGCAGAGAGUUUUGUUUCAGUCAGUAAGAAGAGCGAGUCAUCAUGCACAACAACGAUAAAUCAAGUCUUUGAAGCAAAGAGAAAGCUUCCAUUUGAAACGAGGAGACAUUAGGAAGAGAAGAUGAUGUGCAGGAUCCUGCUGCUCAUCAUCCUCACCUCAGGUGUCUCUGGUUAGUUUACAGCUUCACUUUAUGAACUCCAAAUAAAGCUCAACAACAGAUUUGUUCCAGUUCUCAGUGUGUCUGCUCCUCUCUUUCCCUCUCUGUCUCCUCAACAGGAUCAUUUGUAGUCAAUGUGACACAGACCUCCUAUCAGGCAGAGGAGAACCACAACAUCACACUGGAGUGGACGUUCACCACCAAACCUGACAGAUCCACCAAAACUCUCAACAUCCUCUGUGAACUGUUUAUCAGUAAUAAUAAUGUUUCAGUCUUGUAUCAUGUUCAUGAAGGUGUUGAGGUGUCAGAGUCUCAGGAUGCAAAGUUUUCAGGACGAGUCCAGAGUGACAAAGAUGCCCUCAGAGAAGGACGAAUCAGACUUCAACUGUCCAGACUCAGGACUGAUGACUCGGGUCUGUACCUGUGUGAGGUGAACACUGAUUAUGGCUUCAGUGUUGGAAGAUGUCGACUCAACGUCACUGCUGCUGCUGAGACCAAACAUCAAACACCAACAAUGAACCCACAGACAGAGAGUCGAGGAAGCAUCUGUUGUUUGUUUUUGGGUGGCAUGUACACCUAUGAACCUAUAUAUCUAUCUGCACUGAAGAUAUAUGCUGUAACCUUCAUGUAGACUCUUAAGCACAAGUCGUUUUGCCUUCACCAGGGUUUAUUAAGGUGGUACAGUAACAGGGCAGUUAAUGUAAGGGGAGAGUUCUCCACUGUCCAACUUCCCCAAAGUACACACUCAACGUCUUGGAUACAUGCAGCACAACCAAAACAUUCAAUUUUUUCAAUUCAGUUUUAUUUAUAUAGCGCCAAAUCACAACAGCAGUCGCCUCAAGGUGCUUUAUAUUGUGCAGUAGAUCGUACAAUAAUAAUGCACAAUAAUAAAACAUGUUUCUUUAAAAACAGCAACAAUGCGACAGAAGUAAUAAACACAUCACAAUAAAAUCGCCUUAAAUAUCAUUAAAAUACUAUAUAGUUAUAUAUAAACACAUAUACUAUAAACCUAAACUGGAAUGUUUUCAUAUAUGAGAAUUACCAUGUUAAGCCUGUAACCUAUGUAAUUAGGUCAAGUAUUAUUCACAUGUAUAUCAUAAGAUAAUGCCACUUGCUGUGUGAGCACCUGUUGUUCUGUACUGCUUGUUUAAAGAUUUAAUAAUUAGGAUUAAUGUUUGACUAUUUUGUGACCUAUUGUGAUGAGGCAAAGCAAAGGGUUAGUCAAAGGUUGCCCAUCUGCAGAUGGCCCUUAGCCAGAGUCCUGACCAGCCCCUGGCCGGCUGUUUUUGGCUAGAGGACAAGUGGGAAGUUACCCAGCAGCAGGGGCGGGGUUACUGGCCCCUAUAAAGGGGGGUCAGAGGAGACCGGGGCUCUUCUCUUUCUAUCUGUCUCUGAGUGGCUCUGCUGUCUGUGCUUAUGGCUCUACAUCCUGGGGUUUGCUUUGCUAUGUGUUUUCUUGCUGUUCUGUUUAUGUACUUUCUUGCUUUUCAUAUGAUUCAGUGCAUUAAACUCUGUUCCACAGGAUCUUUGUGAGUGAAUUGAUUUUAAUUUGAUCUAAAAAAAACAAACAAACAAACAAACUUGAUCUCCAUAUCAUUGGUGGGAUAAGGUUAUCACGUUGGCUUCAAAAUUUGUGACCUGACAGAGUGUGUUUCUCAACUCAAACCAAGAAGUCUGUGCUGCAUCUUGUGGUCCAGCUUUGGCCCUUUUCCACUAACAGAAGUCAAAAAGUUGUGGUUUUUCAGUCCUGUUUGAUCAGGUCGACUCCUCAACUGGCUCCCCACAGGGAUUUGCACUCUGGCACUUCUUAUUUAUCCUACACACAAAUAUGUGGCAGGGGGCGGUAACACCACCUUGUACCUGCUUACAGUCAUUGGGUAUUUAUUCGAGAGUAAGGCAUAAGCCGACACAACAGAUCUGUGGUGUGUUUCAUCAAGAAUAAGUAGGACAUGAACUUUGAACUCUCCUGUGUGCAAAGUUUGUAUGAAGUGUGUCAAAUGAGCCGGAGACCAGGUUUGUGUUUCACUCAGCUGAUUUAAAACCUCCUCUCAGGCUCACUGCAUUACAAAAACAAAGAUUACUUUCUGAUUUUAAAUAUCUUCAUGGUUCAUGGAGAAAUCUUGUGUUGAGUUCGAGUCUUUGUCCAGAAUGUUAAUUUGUCUUUAAUGAGUCUACUUCCUGUGAGCUUUGUUAGUCCUGUUAGCUUAGUUUUGAUAUAAAUGUAUGCAUUGUUCUGGGUGUGUGUGACAUUAAUGUAAAUGAUGUUUUUGUGUUGUUUGUAUGCAGUGUGUAAAAAGAAUAAAGUGUGUGAAACCAGAAGAUUGUUAAAUUACCCCAAUUCUUUGAUCUUUAGGCUAAAUUCUCUUUAUUCCAUACAAACACUUUAUACAAAAGCAUUA
This 2606-nucleotide long non-coding RNA is filed under the name Oreochromis niloticus (Nile tilapia). RNAcentral's name for it is "lncRNA (ENSONIG00000032484.1)". Lineage: Eukaryota; Metazoa; Chordata; Actinopteri; Cichliformes; Cichlidae. The record is from RNAcentral.